CUACAGUGAGUUGACAAUUCCUCACUUGUCUGCGCCAUUAAUGACGGCGCCAUACCAUGCUCCACUAUAUAAAUCGAGGAAGGCAACAGUGCAAGGGAUCCGCUCCCCCCACUUCUCGACUCCAAAACCACAGGCUCGCUCCUCUCUCCCUCUCUCUCCCUCGAUCGAACUCUCUGUCUUCAUUUCACUGUUGCCCAGUCACCUCUCUGACUUGACCGUCGGAGGGUCCCCGCCGGAGCCGCCUCCGGUCAGUGUGGACUUCUCGUUUUUGCAGGUGCACGUUCCCCGGCGAUCGGACGACGAGGCGAUUGGCCGCAACA
This 320-nucleotide long non-coding RNA is filed under the name Elaeis guineensis (African oil palm). RNAcentral's name for it is "long non-coding RNA (EGUI_LNC018812)". Lineage: Eukaryota; Viridiplantae; Streptophyta; Magnoliopsida; Arecales; Arecaceae. The record is from RNAcentral.